RNAcentral lists this ribosomal RNA (483 nucleotides) under uncultured bacterium. Its description in RNAcentral is "bacterial SSU rRNA". It matches the Rfam family "Bacterial small subunit ribosomal RNA", at positions 28 to 505 of the family's 1533-position model. The record is from RNAcentral.
GAUGAACGCUAGCGGCAGGCCUAAUACAUGCAAGCUGAACGGUAAAUAUUGUAGCAAUACGAUAUGAGAGUAGCGUAAGGGUGCGUAACACGUAUGCAAUCUGCCCUGUACAGGAGGAUAGCUCGGGGAAACCCGGAUUAACACUUCGUAAGAUGAUAGUGGGGCAUCCCACGGUCAUUAAAGUCGCAAGAUGGUACAGGAUGAGCAUGCGUCUGAUUAGCUAGUUGGUAGUGUAACGGACUACCAAGGCGAUGAUCAGUAGGGGAACUGAGAGGUUGAUCCCCCACACUGGCACUGAGAUACGGGCCAGACUCCUACGGGAGGCAGCAGUAGGGAAUAUUGGUCAAUGGAUGCAAGUCUGAACCAGCCAUGCCGCGUGCAGGAAGAAGGCCUUCUGGGUUGUAAGCUGCUUUUGCCGGGGGAUAAAAAUUCCCAUGCGUGGGACAUUGAAGGUACCCGGUGAAUAAGCCACGGCUAACUACG